Molecule: ribosomal RNA, 486 nt
Filed under: uncultured bacterium
Lineage: Bacteria
Description: partial 16S ribosomal RNA
Rfam family: Bacterial small subunit ribosomal RNA
Source: RNAcentral
GACGAACGCUGGCGGCGUGCUUAACACAUGCAAGUCGAACGGGCUCUGUCUGGCUGUGUGCUGGGUGGGGUUCGUGGCGAACGGGUGAGUAUUACGUGAUUAACCUGCCCUCUUCUUUGGGAUAAGCCUUGGAAACGGGGUCUAAUACUGUAUAUUCCUGUCUGGUCGCAUGGCUGGGUGGGGAAAGUUUUUUCGGUGGGGGAUGGGCUCGCGGCCUAUCAGCUUGUUGGUGGGGUGAUGGCCUACCAAGGCGUCGACGGGUAGCCGGCCUGAGAGGGGGCACGGCGAAACUGGGACGGGGUUCAGGCCCAGACGGGUAGGGGAGGCAGGAGAGGGGGGUAAUGGGCAGUGGGCGCGAGCCUGAUGCAGCGACGCUGCGUGGGAGAUGACGGGUUUGGGGUGGUAAACCUCUUUCGGCGGGGGACAAGGCUCUGCUUGGUGGUGGGGUUGAGGGUACCCGGUGAAGAAGCGCCGGCUAACUACGUG